CCUACGGGAGGCAGCAGUGGGGAAUUUUGGACAAUGGGCGCAAGCCUGAUCCAGCAAUGCCGCGUGAGUGAAGAAGGCCUUCGGGUUGUAAAGCUCUUUUGUCAGGGAAGAAACGGCUGAGGCUAAUAUCCUCGGCUAAUGACGGUACCUGAAGAAUAAGCACCGGCUAACUACGUGCCAGCAGCCGCGGUAAUACGUAGGGUGCAAGCGUUAAUCGGAAUUACUGGGCGUAAAGCGUGCGCAGGCGGUUUUGUAAGUCUGUCGUGAAAGCCCCGGGCUUAACCUGGGAAUUGCGAUGGAGACUGCAAGGCUUGAAUCUGGCAGAGGGGGGUAGAAUUCCACGUGUAGCAGUGAAAUGCGUAGAGAUGUGGAGGAACACCGAUGGCGAAGGCAGCCCCCUGGGUCAAGAUUGACGCUCAUGCACGAAAGCGUGGGGAGCAAACAGGAUUAGAUACCCUGGUAGUCCACGCCCUAAACGAUGUCUACUAGUUGUCGGGUCUUAAUUGACUUGGUAACGCAGCUAACGCGUGAAGUAGACCGCCUGGGGAGUACGGUCGCAAGAUUAAAAACUCAAAAGUAGUAAGUUACGGACGGNGAGAGAGACGACGACGACGACGACGGAGGGAGGAGG
Molecule: ribosomal RNA, 631 nt
Filed under: uncultured bacterium
Lineage: Bacteria
Description: bacterial SSU rRNA
Rfam family: Bacterial small subunit ribosomal RNA
Source: RNAcentral